AACACGCAGGCAUCACACAGAGCGCUGAGCACCACAAAAGGCCGGGGCCAGCCAAGAAACAAGUUUGAGCUUUAACUCUGCAGCUCCCAGCGCCGCUCCUGCGAAACCCACGACCUCUGCCGCGUGCAGGAGGGCUGGGGCUUCUUAAAAAGAAAAAAAAGGGACGUCCGGCCACCAACCACGAGAGCAGCCGGAGAAAGAGAAGAAAGCAAAGCCGGUUCCUUAAAUCCUGGGGGCGAGAGGAUUUCAGAGCCAUGAGCGGCGGAGAGCGGCGAGCGGGCGCCGAGGCUGGAAACCAGGUCACAGGCGGGAGAGUCCUGACCCCGGCGCCAGAAGUUGGAGGGGACACAUGCUCUGCCCCCAGCUCUCCUCCAGCGGGGCGCGGGCGCUCGGUCCUCCCGCUCCUCCUGCUCGCGGCGGAGCUUUUCCAGCCGGCUGCAGCCGCGGUUGUUAAGGUGGAUGGAAGCGCCUCCGGUAUUUUCUCCCCUACCUCCUCGCUCAGCAGCCUGGGGCUACGGGGAGGGGAGGCUGUGCAGUUUCAGGAGAUGCCCGAUGUUGCCAAGAAAGAAUAAUAAAUAAAUAAA
Molecule: long non-coding RNA, 584 nt
Organism: Cygnus atratus (black swan)
Lineage: Eukaryota; Metazoa; Chordata; Aves; Anseriformes; Anatidae
Exons: 2
Source: RefSeq, a predicted model, not a curated record